This 403-nucleotide ribosomal RNA is filed under the name uncultured bacterium. RNAcentral describes it as "partial 16S ribosomal RNA". It matches the Rfam family "Bacterial small subunit ribosomal RNA", at positions 28 to 526 of the family's 1533-position model. The record is from RNAcentral.
GACGAACGCUGGCGGCGUGCCUAAUACAUGCAAGUCGAACGCAGUGGGGACGGGUGAGUAACACGUGGGUAACCUCCCAUCAGAGGGGAUAACACUUGGAAACAGGUGCUAAACCGAUACUGAUGGAUGGACCCGCGGUGCAUUAGCUAGUUUGUGAGGUAACGGCUCACCAAGGCCACGAUGCAAAGGCGGACUUGGCAGGGGGUCCGCCACACUGGGACGGGGGCACGGCCCAGCAUCCUAAGGGAGGCAGCAGUAGGGGACUUUCCGCAAUGGGGCGAAGCCUUACCGAGCAACGCCUCGGGGGUGAAGAAGGUUUUCGGAUCGUAAAGCUCUGGUGUUAAGGGAGCGGUACUUAACCAGAAAGCAACGGCUAACUACGUGCCAGCAGCCGCGGUAAUUC